CACCUUCGGAGAUACCUGUAGAGCAUGUUUAUAGCCACCCAGUUACGUUGUGACGUUUGAUACACACAAAGCAUUCCUCCGGUGUCAGUGAGUUAUACGAUCUCAUGGUCAUAGGAAUAAAUACUUGACAUGCAAAAAACAGUAGCAACAAAAUGACACGAUCAACAUGCUACGUCUAUUAGUUUGGGUCUAGUCCAUCACAUGAUUCUCCCAAUGAUGUGAUCCAGUUAUCAAGCAACAACACCUUGCUCAUAGCCAGAAGACCCUGACUAUCCUUGAUCAACUAGCUAGCCAACUAGAGGCUUGCUAGGGACGGUGUUUUGUCUAUGUAUCCAC
This 336-nucleotide long non-coding RNA is filed under the name Hordeum vulgare. RNAcentral describes it as "long non-coding RNA (HVUL_LNC003079)". Lineage: Eukaryota; Viridiplantae; Streptophyta; Magnoliopsida; Poales; Poaceae. The record is from RNAcentral.